Molecule: non-coding RNA, 45 nt
Organism: Schistosoma rodhaini
Lineage: Eukaryota; Metazoa; Platyhelminthes; Trematoda; Strigeidida; Schistosomatidae
Source: Rfam
AUCCAGUUGAUGAGUCCCAAAUAGAAUGAAACGCGCGUCUUGUAU